AUGUCGAGGGAUGCUCUGCACGAGUUUACGAAGAAAUGUGGGGGAGUGAAGGACGAUCUGCUCAGGGCAAUGGCGAAGCUGCUGGAACUUAACGACGAUGAUUACUUUGUGAAACACUUUGGAGAGAGGCCUCUUACUAACGCGAGGUGCAGCUACUACCCGGAGUGUCCAAGGCCGGAGCUCGUGUUUGGCCUUAAGCCCCACUCCGAUGGAACUGUUGUUACAGUCCUCAUGGUCGAUGACAGGAUUGGUGGCCUUCAAGUUCUCAAAGAUGGGGUCUGGUGGGAUGUACCGAUCGUACCUCACACAUUACUCCUGAUUAUAGGAGAUCAAACUGAGAUAAUGAGCAAUGGGAUCUUAAAAAGCCCUGUGCAUAGGGUCGUGACAAACACAAAGAAAGAGAGACUAUCGGUGGCACUAGACUACUCUGUUGAUCCUAAGAAAGAAAUCGAGCCAUCGGCUCAGUUGAUCAAUGAAAAGAGGUCGGCGUUGUACACAAAAGUGAAGAUCAAGGACUACUUUGCUAGAAAUUACAAUGAUUUUACUCAAGGCAAAAUGGCUAUCGAUACAGUGAAGGUCUAA
RNAcentral lists this ribosomal RNA (582 nucleotides) under Triticum aestivum (bread wheat). Its description in RNAcentral is "partial small subunit ribosomal RNA". Lineage: Eukaryota; Viridiplantae; Streptophyta; Magnoliopsida; Poales; Poaceae. The record is from RNAcentral.